Molecule: ribosomal RNA, 500 nt
Filed under: uncultured bacterium
Lineage: Bacteria
Description: partial 16S ribosomal RNA
Rfam family: Bacterial small subunit ribosomal RNA
Source: RNAcentral
AUUGAACGCUGGCGGAAUGCUUUACACAUGCAAGUCGAACGGCAGCACGGACUUCGGUCUGGGGGCGAGUGGCGAACGGGGGAGUAAUGUAUCGGAACGUGCCCAGUCGUGGGGGAUAACGUAGUGAAAAUCACGCUAAUACCGCAUACGAUCUCUGGAUGAAAGAGGGGGAUCGCAAGACCGCGCGCGACUGGGGCGGCCGAUAUCAGAUUAGGUAGUUGGUGGGGUAAGGGGCCACCAAGCCAACGAUCUGUAGGUGGUCUGAGAGGACGGACAGGCACACUGGAACGGAGACACGGUCCAGACUCCUACGGGAGGCAGCAGUGGGGAAUUUUGGACAAUGGGCGAAAGCCUGAUCCAGCCAUUCCGCGUGCAGGAUGAAGGCGCUCGGGUUGUAAACUGCUUUUGUACAGAACGAAAAGGUUUCUACUAAUACUAGGAGCUAAUGACGGUACUGUAAGAAUAAGCACCGGCUAACUACGUGCCAGCCGCCGCGGUAA